RNAcentral lists this ribosomal RNA (690 nucleotides) under uncultured bacterium. Its description in RNAcentral is "bacterial SSU rRNA". It matches the Rfam family "Bacterial small subunit ribosomal RNA", at positions 129 to 809 of the family's 1533-position model. The record is from RNAcentral.
CCUAUUAGUGGGGGACAACAUUUCGAAAGGAAUGCUAAUACCGCAUACGCCCUACGGGGGAAAGCAGGGGAUCUUCGGACCUUGCGCUAAUAGAUGAGCCUAAGUCGGAUUAGCUAGUUGGUGGGGUAAAGGCCUACCAAGGCGACGAUCUGUAGCGGGUCUGAGAGGAUGAUCCGCCCCACUGGGACUGAGACACGGCCCAGACUCCUACGGGAGGCAGCAGUGGGGAAUAUUGGACAAUGGGGGGAACCCUGAUCCAGCCAUGCCGCGUGUGUGAAGAAGGCCUUUUGGUUGUAAAGCACUUUAAGCGAGGAGGAGGAGCUCUAGAUUAAUACUCUAGAUGCUUGGACGUUACUCGCAGAAUAAGCACCGGCUAACUCUGUGCCAGCAGCCCGCGGUAAUACAGAGGGUGCAAGCGUUAAUCGGAUUUACUGGGCGUAAAGCGUGCCGUAGGUGGUCUUUUAAGUCGGAUGUGAAAUCCCUGAGCUUAACUUAGGAAUUGCAUUCGAUACUGGGAGACUAGAGUAUGGGAGAGGAUGGUAGAAUUCCAGGUGUAGCGGUGAAAUGCGUAGAGAUCUGGAGGAAUACCCAUGGCCAAGGCAGCCCAUCUGGCCUAAUACUGACACUGAGGUACCAAAGCAUGGGGAGCAAGCCACGAUUAGAUACCCUGGUAGUCCCUGCCCUAAACCA